UUACGGACAUAUCAUGUUGAAACACCGGUUCCUGUACGAUCAUCGAAGUCAAGCAACGUUGAGCUUGUUCAGUACUAAGAUGGGUAACCGGUUGGGAAUAUCAGGU
Molecule: non-coding RNA, 106 nt
Organism: Acanthosepion pharaonis
Lineage: Eukaryota; Metazoa; Mollusca; Cephalopoda; Sepiida; Sepiidae
Source: the annotation of a GenBank genome assembly